This 501-nucleotide ribosomal RNA is filed under the name uncultured bacterium. Its description in RNAcentral is "partial 16S ribosomal RNA". It matches the Rfam family "Bacterial small subunit ribosomal RNA", at positions 28 to 507 of the family's 1533-position model. The record is from RNAcentral.
GACGAACGCUGGCGGCGUGCUUAACACAUGCAAGUCGAACGGUGAAGCACCUUCCUUUUGGUGGGUGUGGAUGAGUGGCGAACGGGUGAGUAACACGUGAGUAACCUGCCCCCUUCUUCUGGAUAACCGCAUGAAAGUGUGGCUAAUACGGGAUAUUCUGUGCCUGCUGCAUGGUGGGUGUGGGAAAGAUGCGCUUUUAGGUGUUUUUGGUGGGGGAUGGGCUCGCGGCCUAUCAGCUUGUUGGUGGGGUGAUGGCCUACCAAGGCGGUGACGGGUAGCCGGGCUGAGAGGGUGGACGGUCACACUGGGACUGAGACACGGCCCAGACUCCUACGGGAGGCAGCAGUGGGGAAUAUUGCACAAUGGGCGCAAGCCUGAUGCAGCGACGCCGCGUGAGGGAUGGAGGCCUUCGGGUUGUAAACCUCUUUCGCCAGUGAAGCAGGCCUGUCCCUUGUGGGUGGGUUGACGGUAGCUGGAUAAGAAGCGCCGGCUAACUACGUG